GACGUAGGGCGCGAGCGUUGUCCGGAUUGAUUGGGCGUAAAGAGCUCGUAGGCGGCUCGUUGCGUCGGCUGUGAAAACCCGCAGCUCAACUGUGGGCCUGCAGCCGAUACGGGCGGGCUGGAGUUCGGUAGGGGAGACUGGAAUUCCUGGUGUAGCGGUGAAAUGCGCAGAUAUCAGGAGGAACACCGGUGGCGAAGGCGGGUCUCUGGGCCGAUACUGACGCUGAGGAGCGAAAGCGUGGGGAGCGAACAGGAUUAGAAACCCCCGUAGUCC
This 273-nucleotide ribosomal RNA is filed under the name uncultured bacterium. Its description in RNAcentral is "partial 16S ribosomal RNA". It matches the Rfam family "Bacterial small subunit ribosomal RNA", at positions 524 to 796 of the family's 1533-position model. The record is from RNAcentral.